Molecule: non-coding RNA, 45 nt
Organism: Schistosoma rodhaini
Lineage: Eukaryota; Metazoa; Platyhelminthes; Trematoda; Strigeidida; Schistosomatidae
Source: Rfam
AUCCGGCUGACGAGUCCCAAAUGAGACGAAACUUGCAUCCUGGAU